UUUACCUCCUGCACGUUGACUAAACCAUGGCUGAGGAUGCCUCCCUUUUGGCAGAUCAUUCUAGGAAGGUGGGAACCAAAUCUGCAGCAAACUCAUUCAUCUGUGUCAUCGUCUCCAUUGAAGCAUCAUUCCUUUCCUUGGUUAAUUACUGCCCACCUUUUUUUCUUCCUUCAUCUUAAUUACAAUUCAGUCUGCUUUAUUCUGUUUUUUGGGUGACUACCCAAGUCCCUUAUGGUAGGUAGGUCAAGAAGCAGAGAGAGAGAGUUCUCCCCCCACCCCCAGGCAGACUAAAGACUGAGGAUCUGGUGCAGGAUGUCCCUUCUUCAAUGCCUUGACUGGGGUCAACACAUAUCAAGGUUAGGGCAGUGGACUUGGCCCUCCUGCCCAGGCUCACAGGUCUGCUCCCUCCCCCAGCCCCUGAGGCCUGUGACUACAGCUUCUCGGUGCUCAUGGGGACUCAGGGAAAACAGGAUCUGCAGACCAGGAAGCGGGUCCUCACCCGACCCCAGGUCCCCAGCACCUUGACCUUGGACUCCAGCCUCCAACCUUGAGGAACAGAUGUCUGGUUUCAUGCUCAUCUGCAGUACUUCAGCAGCCAAAGGGACUCAGAAGUUGAGCAUCUACUCUGCCAGGUGGAGAGUGGCAUGGAGCUUCACAGAUACAAAUGAAGUGCAAAACCCUGUCUUAGAAAACCUUUGACCCUGGUGGGAACAAUACCAGCCACUACCAGCACACUUAACAUUUCACGUGAUUCUGUUGGACAGCGUGAGUCCAGAGCCGAGUCAGUUCCUGCUUUGGAAGCAGAGAGUCCUCCGUGUGGGGUGUCCUGCCCGCGAGACCUUGGGCAGCAUCUCCAGCGUCGUCCACCAGAUGGCAGUAGCUCCCCUCUCUCCAACACGACUUUGCCAGAGUCCCCAAGGGCUUGGAGUAACCCCAUCUGUCCAUAUGCUGCAGCAGCUUCCAGCCGGUCGUCACACUGGGGUCUGAAAGGCGGAGCAGCCACCAGACUGUCAGCCCAGGAGCUCCACUGGGUGAAGGUGAGGAGGGCUGAGGCUGCCUCCUCACGUCUCCUUGCCUAUGAUGAGCUGACUCUCCCUGCAUCUUAUCCUCCUGGACCCAGCACCUCCUUUGGAGUCCCACGCCCACUGCUCCAACUCAAGUCCACGUUCUAGAACACCAUAUGAUUGUCCAGUAGGAAGUUUCAGCUGCAGCUGCUUCCUGCUUUGAAUCGCAGCCUCACAGAGUUUAUUUAAGUAAGAUUUUUCUCAACCUGUGAAGCACAAUUCCGAAGGCACAGAGGAGAAGCAAUGUCUGCACCUCAUCUGUACAAUGUGGUCGAGUGCCAAGUGCCACAGAAUGUCCCGCAGAGGCCACGGGGGAGUGACCCCUGGGGAAACGGUGCUCCAAGCUUGAUGUACUGUAACGUCGUAGGAAAGAGAAAGAAGUGCCAGAAAUGAGGUCUUGUCACGGAUGGAGCUAGUGUAACCCUGGGAGACAGGAGGCUGCGGAAGAGCCUCCUGGGGAGGGGUCGGAGGUACUGAGACGGCUGAAGAAUAGAAGGAAGAAGAUACAGACGCAGAAAUGCCCUCUGGCCGAGUCAGCAAGGAGGGCACCGCCAGGAGCACGAGUUAUACACACGUUAUUUUCCCAUCAUCUCCACAUCAUUCCCUGGCCCCCGAGUCACUUAACCGCUUUGCACUGUGCGUGCUCAGCAACCUGAGUGACUUCAGGUUUGCUUCCUGUGUCCAGGACAGCGUUUCCCACCUGCUUCUCCUACUUCUGAUGGCGUCUGUAGGAGCUUUUCACCUCCUGGCUUCUUCCUCCUCCGUCUGCUCCUGAUCCUCUGUCCUUGUCCUGCAGUCUCUCCUUGGAGCCCUUACAGCUCUUCCUUCUGCUUUUUUCCUGGGAGAGCUUGUCUUGACUCUAAGUUUGUUUAGUGAUGUUAUUUCUUUGAGUGAUUUCUUAUUUCUUUGUCUUUUUGCAUUUUUGAAAAAAAAUUAAAGAUACAGGAAAAGUAUAAAGAAUUUUUACAAAACACAUUGUUUCCAUAACGCAAAUUUAACUAUAUAUUUUGUCAUACUUGUUUCUAAUCCUUUUAAAAGAAAAAAUACAUAAUAGAUAUAGCUUAGGAAUCCUUUACGAACAACACAGAGGCCUGUCCUCACUCACCCAGUGGUAAACAGUUUGGUGGUUUGUAUUUUUAUAUUCCUUUUUUAAAAAUUUACAUAUGUACAUGUGUCCAUUAUACAAACUUAUUUUUGAAAGUGUUACUUUACAUUAAGUGGCACCAUGCUGUAUUAAUUAUUCUGCCCCUUUCUCUUUUCACACUAUGUUCGUGAUCACAAAAUCCUAUAUUACCUAUAUUUCAUCCUACUAGUUUUUGGUUGGUCACAUUUAGGCUUUAAUUUGUCGUAUUCAUAAAGCAGGAUUCUUGUUUAACAGGUUUUCCUGAUAAAGAGACCCAGUCUCCCCACAUUAUAUAUUGAAUGUCCGUGUUUCCUACUGACCUGUGACGUCACCACCAUCAGAUUACCAAAUUCCCAAAUACACACAAGACUGCUUCUGAGCUCUUCUUUUCCCUUGGUCUAUUUUUCUACUGCUGUACUGUUGUCACAAUCUUUAUGACUGUACCUUUGAUAUAUUCACUUUCUUGUAAAUUCUCCCAAUUUGGCUUUUUCUCAAAAAAAGAGUUUUUGGUAUUUUUGCUUCUCAAAUUUUUUUAACCUUAUAUUAUAGAAAAUUUUAAACAUACAAAAAUAGACCCAAUAGGAUAGCCCAAUUCCAGCUGCAGUGAUAAUCAAUUCAUGCCCGAUCUGUUUUCAUCUACGCCUCCCCCUUGGUCCCCCCACCCCUGCCCCAUAUUCUUUUGAAGCCAAUUACAGGUAGUGUAUCAUUCCAGGCAUUUCUUUUUUUUUUUUUAAAUUUUAUUUAUUUAUUUAUUUUUGGAUGCAUUGGGUCUUUGUUGUGGUGUGCGGGCUUCUCAUUGUGGUGCCUUCUCUUGUUGCAGAGCAUGGACUCUAGGCGUGCAGGCUUCAGUAGUUGUGGCAUGCAGGCUCAGUAGCUGUGGCUCUCGGGCUCAGUAGUUGUGGCUCGCGGGCUUAGUUGCUCCACGGCAUGUGGGAUCUUCCCGGACCAGGGCUCGAACCCAAGUCCCCUGCAUUGGCAGGCGGAUCCUUAACCACUGCACCACCAGGGAAGCCCCCAGGGAAGCCCCCAAGCAUUUCUUAAGCUAUUUCUUUACACAUAUUCUCUAAAAUCAGUUUUUUAAGUUCCCCAUAUAUUUUGAUGGAGUUUUGAUUGAAUUUUCAUUGAAUUUAAAGAUUUUGGAGAAUUCACUUACAAAAUUGAAUCUUUCUAUCCACGAAAUUGGGUAAAAUUUCUAACCGUGAAAUUUUUCCCCAUUUAUUAAAUUCUUCCUUUAUAUUUUUUAAUAACACGCUUGUUGUUUUCUCUGUGAAGAUCUUGCACGUUUGUUAGAUUUUGCCGCAACUAUGAAUGCCAUAGAUUUUGCUGUGGCUAUGAAUGAUGCAGUUUAAAUUAUAAUUCCCACUUGGUUAUUGCUACUGUAAAGAAAUGAUAUGAAUUUUGUGCAUUGCUCUUGUCCUCUGCAAAUCUUGCUAAACUUUUUUUUUUUUAUUUUAUUUUUUAAUAAAUUUAUUUAUUUUUGGCUGCGUUGGGUCUUCGUUGCUGCACACGAGCUUUCUCUAGUUGCGGCGAGCGGGGGCUACUCUUUGUUGCGGUGCGUGGGCUUCUCAUUGCGGUGGCUUCUCUUGUUGCGGAGCACAGGCUCUAGGCAUGCGGGCUUCAGUAGUUGUGGCACACGGGCUCAGUAGUUGUGGCUCACGGGCUCUAGAGUGCAGGCUCAGUAGCUGUGGUGCACAGGCUUAGUUGCUCCGUGGCUCGUGGGAUCUUCCUGGACCAGGGCUCGAAGCCGUGUCCCCUGCAUUGGCAGGCAGAUUCUUAACCACUACACCACUAGGGAAGCCCUAAACUUUUAUUAACCUGAGUAGUUUAUUCAUAGAUUCUCUUGGAUUUUAUAGAUAGACAAUCGUAUCAUCUGCAAGAAAAUGAUAGCUUUGCUUUCUCUCAUCCCUUAUAACUCAUGGUUUUAAUUUUUUAUUUUACUGCAAAGGCUUGUUCUCCAGUGCACUGUUGAGAAGAGUAGUGAUAACUGGCUGUCGCGCUUGUCCCUCACGUUCAUGACUCUUGUACGUUCCCCAUCUGCCUAACAUCUUCUCCCUACCCAGCUGGGCAGCAUGUCUCCACCUGGCCCUGAGCUGACUCUGGGCAGUCAGCAUUCAUCUUUGAGGGAAGUGGGUCUGCUGAGCCAGGCUGGUCCUGAAGGCCCGUGGGGGCAGGGACAGGGCUGAGCUGCAGAGAGACCACGACACCACCUGGGUUUGCUGUCGUCCCCUGCAGGAUCCCCUAAUUCACACAGGGUGACGGUGGCCACACCCUCCCCGCCCACCUCCCCUUGGCCGACUCUUAGCUAAAAGGCUGGGUCAUAGGCCAAAGAACUAGCACGCAGACUGGCCUUCAGUUUUACCUCCCGCCAUGUGAGAGGGGUCUCAGCUCCCCCUUCUCAGGCCCAUCAGCCCAGGGAAGCCCUACCUACCUCUGGGACAGAGCCAGGGUCCACGACCAGUUCAAACAGGGGUAGGCAUCGCCAGCCGAGCGGUGCAUGGAUUUGCCCAGGCCCUCAUCCCUGAUGCAUGACGGGUCCCCGAGACGCCACCGCUUUCUCUCCCCUGCCCUGCUCCUUGCCUUCGGUGUGUGGCAGGGACAGGACGCUCAGAUGGGGUGAGGGGCAGGCGACCCUGGGGUGCGGGAGACCCUGGGCGUUCAUGCUUCCUUAGCUCCUUCCCCUCCUGCCCCUGAUUCCCAGAGUUGUAAAACUCUGGGUUGUAAAACGUGGGUUCCAUUUCCCAGCUUCCUGUACAGUGAUGUUGAGAGGGCCCAGGAGUCCGCUUUUCCAUAUUCUCACCUCAAGACAUUUGAACAGUUAAUACUUUAGCAGCAGAAGAUAAGCCACCACAUAAGCAGUAAGUUUCUUGGUUAGAAAACAAGCCAUCAGAGAAAAAAUAUUUUUUGCGGAGAAGGAGAAAUAGUGGGUGGGCUGAGUUUUUAUCUUUUGUAUGGUAGAUAAGAUAUGUCUGCACAGCGGCAGCUAACAUUUUCAAAUAGGAAGGCAUAUGAUUAAAUCUCUUUUGAUGUUAUCUGCAAAUUGUUUCUCUGAGCUCCGCUUCCAAAGGGUAGCUCUCCAGUUAGAGUCAGAGAUGAUUAUUGUGAAGUUAGCCCUCACUGUCUACUGCUUAGACAGGUGACUUCCUCUUUAAAGCGCUAAUUAGCCCUACAUGCAGUAUCUUGUAUCGUAUGGGACCUUCAGCAUUUUGUUCUUUUCUAAUUAGAAUCAUCUCUCCUCAUGCUUCUCCAAUAAAAUGGAGAAACUGUUGGGAGUUCUUUGCUGCUCCCUCCCAAGGCCCCUGUGAUCUGCCACGAGGCGUGGACAGUCUUGCCGCUGCGGCUCCCCUGCCCCCGGGCAGUUCAUUCCAUCCCCAGGGCUGAUGAUUUAGUAAGUUCAUUUCCACUCAGCAAAUUUACUAACACCUCUCUUGAAGUAAUAGAUUGUUCACUCUUGACGACUUGUUAUUAUUAUUGAAAUGGACCUUAAAUUAGGGUCAGGGAUCCCUAAACCUCUAAUGGUCACUAGUGAGCAAAACGAAGGUUAAGGAGUGAGGACAUGUUAGGUACGAUGUCCUCACACCUUCGUUUUGCUCACUAGUGACCCUUAGAGAUCAGUUUAGAGACUCUUGAUGUUAGGUCCUUUUUUUGAAGGGUUAAUUAAAUGACAUUAUAUAAACCACCUUGACGUGCUUUAAAAAACAUUUCCAUCCCUCUUUUCCGAGUGAACUCCAGUUCCUGGCCGAUCCACGGGUGACGGCUGUGCUGUGGCUUUGGCGUGGGGACUUCUGACAGCUGUGCUGACGAGGACAGUGUGUGGCUCUCGGGGACGCUCACAGUGCACCGGGCUCUGCCCAAGUCCGAAGAAGACUGAUCACCGUGCACUCAGCCAUCACUACACUGCUGGGGGGGAGGGGAGGGUGGGGCAGGUACCACUAUCGUGUUUUGCAAAAGAGAAAACGAGGAGGCACAGGGAUUUAAGGGUCUGCCGCGGGCGGGCGAGCUGGGGCUGAGCCUGUCGGUCUGGCCCCUUCACCACCGUCUCAUGAACAGUUUCCACUGAUGAAAACAGAGGCACUGUUGGGUAGAUCCUGCAUCCUGAUAACCCGUCAGCUUCAGUCAUCUAACCCGUGUCACCAGCUGUUCACCGUCCUCUGUAAACCUCCUCCCAUCUCAUUUUCAUUCAGUGGGAGGCUCGUUCCUUCAGCAAACAUUCCCAGAGCACCAUCUAAGUGCAGGUUCUUAGAACUGUGUCACAGCUCCAAUGGGGAACAGAACAGAACUGCAGUCCCCCACGGAGAUUACAGUCCGACUGGGAGAGGCACACCUGAAGUCACUUGGUAAUAAAUUAAAGGUUGUAACUGCGACAGUGGCUCAGAGGGACAGAGGGGCUGGACUGAGAGUUCCGAGGGUCGAGGGGCACAAGCAGGAAAUGCCUGCGCGAGCUGAGUAGAUGGUGGACAGGCAGUGGGGAUGCAGGGGUCCUCUUGGUGGGAGCCUUGAGCACCACUGGGGUGGAAUUCACAGAUGGCGCAAGUCGGGACAGUCCUGCUUCCAGUGGGAGGCAUUGGUGGCUCAGUGGCAACGCUUGUGCCUUUGUCCCCAUACUGGACGAAGACACAGGAUCAUCUGCCUGUUCAGGACCAUUGUUCUGUGAAGACCAGUAACCCAUCUGUGGGCAGCAGGGUAAGGCCCCAAAGAUGUCCAAGUCUUAAUCCCCAGAAACAAUGACUACCUUAGGCUAAGCGGUAAACGUUGCUUAUCAGCUGACCGUGAGGUGGGCGGUCAGCCGGGAUCACCCAGGUGGGCCCAGUGUCAUCAGGGUCCUUAUGAGUGAGUGGAGGAUCCAGGGAGAGGGGGGCGGGAAAGUCUUGGUGGUCAGGGCUGGAUUUGAAGGGGGAGGGUCCCGGGAGCCGAGGAAGGUGGGCAACCUCCAGAAGCAAGAAAAGGCAAGAAAUGGGUUUUCUGUGGGACACGGCUCUGCCAACACCUUGAUUUUAGCUCAGAGAGACCCCUUUCCGUUUCUGAGCUCCAGACCACAAAGUGAUAAAUUUGCGUGUUUUAAACCAUGAAGUUUGUGGUAGUUUGUUCUAGCAGCAGCAGGAAACUAAUACUAAUACUAUGAUGUUUCUUCCUGAAUAUCUUGUUUACCACACUGACUUGAGUGUGAAACAAUAGGUUUGACUGUGAAAAUGCAGCUAAGAUUGACCUAACCUUCGGCCAGUCCGGCCCAAGCACGUUUAUGAAUAAUGCCCAAUUGGUGUUUACACCCUCCAGUUUAAAAAAGUGAUUAUAAUAGAAAUAUUUAAAAAUGUAUUUUUGCUUUUCUCUUGGGUUUUGGAUAAAGAUAUGUAGGUUUUAGCAUCUCUUAUUUCAUGUUUCUCCUUUUUAUUCAAGAUGAAAUAUUCCCAGAAAUGUCAAAAUGACACAGACAUGUUCAGCGUUUGCUGUUUCCAGGUCAUGGGGUGGGCAGAACUCCUGGUGCCUGUGUUAGUAUAAAAACUGGAGACCCAGGACCAGCACUGGGGUCUGUACUGGUUUGGAUGUUGUCAGAUUAUAUGAUCUAAGAAUGACAGUUUAUAAUCACUUCUUUACUAUGGCUUAUUGUUUUUUCCCCCUCCAAUUUUUUUUAAUGAAGUUGUGCUUAUACAAAUUACUAGUUUUAUAAAAGCACAAAAGGGCUUUCACCUAGUUUCUGAAGAAUAAUAAGAUCAGUGUUGUAGGGGAAUAAACUGUGGCUACUUAAGAAAGGCCGAGGACCACCCUUGUACUCAGAAUUUUUGUGUAUUGGGAAAGGGCAUAAUGACGAAAAGGUACUAUUCAGUAACAUUUCAGAAAUGUGUGUUUUAUUAUCACAAAUACAUCUAGGUACAUGCGUAGACAAGGGGCACACGUGAAAGACAUUUGAUUUUUGGAUCACGCUGAGUAGAGUGUCCUUACGACACAUGCCUCCAAAAUGUGGUUCACGGCUGAGCCUGGUGUGCAAGCUCUCAGCUUCGAGCGCCCUUCAGAACGAGAACUUUAUUUAUUUAUGUAUUUUUUUUUAAGUAUAGUUGAUUUAUAAUACCGUGUUAGUUUCAGUUGUACAGCACAGUGAUUCAGUUACAUGUAUAUAACUGAAUAUAUAUUCCUUUUAGAUUCUUUUCUGUCGUGGUCCAAAUGCAGGUUGGAAAAGAAUUUCCAGACACAAGGCAGAAUGCAGAGGAUGGAAUUUAUUAGCGGGAAUGGUUGCUGCCAGAACAGCGGGCCGACUUCCUAGUAGUCUGGGAUAGCCAACCCUGAACAUGUGCUAUUAGUCGGUUUUUAUAGCCAGAGAACAAAAGAAUGGUCCGAGGUGAAAAUUUCUUUUCUCAAUUGGUCGAGGCACAUAUAUACACCUUCCUUCUAUAGGGUGGGAGUGGGACAAGGCAGAUGCCUUUCCUUAUUUGGGACGAAAGAGGAACAGUCCUGUUGACCAGGUGGGCUCAGGAAUUUCGUUCCCAUCGCAACAUGGCGCGGAGGGCGAGAGAGUCUGGUGGGGUCCGUAACACAGCUUUUUCAGGCUGGGCUGUCCUUUGUCCUUGAAGCACCAUUGUCCUUGGAGCACCAUAUUUUCCCUUAUAGGUUAUUACAGAAUAUUGAGUAGUUCCCUGUGCUACACAGUAGGUCCUUGUUGGUUAUCUAUUUUAUAUGUAGUAGUGUGUAUCUGUUAAUCCCAACCACAAGAGCUGUAUUUAAAGCCACCCUGCGCCCUCCCGAGCAUUCCAGCCUGAACUCCACCCCAGCCCCUACCCACGCCCUCGGCCAUUGUGCUGCUAAAUACAAUCGCUUACUGUGUUUUAAAUAGAGCGGAUGCCUCACUGUCAUUUAUUGUAGUCACGUACGUGGGCCUUUGCUUUCAGUAAUAUUUAAAGCUGUGCCUAAUUAGAUUUAACACCAUUUGCUUGAAGACUUGUUAAGAAUCCUUUGCAAGGUGGGUUUAGCGCUCCAAACUCAUGUGAAGUCUGGAUUUUUACGUAUCCGCAUAUUUUAAAGGAUGGAAUGCCUACCUCACACUUUUAGGUUUUAUCCCCCUCUUCCCACUGGAGAUUGGAAGGAAGACUAGCAGGAAAGAGUCUACGGUAAAAGAACUGUUGCCCCAGCUUUGUGCUCUCUGCGGGCGUGUCUUAACCUCAUCUCAGGGCCGAGGGGGAUUGUUCAAAGCCCAAAAGCUGCCUCUGGAGUCCGGUGAACCGACCUAUGAAGCUGCUGCUGACAGCCCUCAGGGUGGUCUUUUUUCUUUUUAAAAAAUCUGCUUUUGCUUUGUUUCCAUUGGAUUUGUUUUUCUUCCCUAGGAGACGUUGCAGCGAUGGCCCAUAGGAGAGGGUGAAUAAUUACCUGGGUGAACAGAGAGGCACACAGCAUGCUGGCGGGCGUGCGAGCAGGUGGCCCAGGAGGGGCUCUGUCCCUGACGGAAGGUCUGGCUGAUGCCGAGGGCUUGAGCGGCCAAGGGCCUCUGCUGAGAAGUCUGCUCCCUCAGAAGGGGGCCGACGGCCCAACCCAGAGCCCAGGAAGCCACGAGCCCCAGGGGCCACGGGUGGGCUGGCUGCAGGUGGGAGCUGCCCGCAGGGAGAGCAUUCGCCCAGCUUCCUCCUCUCCCACCCGGUCCCCCCCCACCCCAUCAUCAACUUCCUUUAUCUUACAGCUCCGGAGGUCAGGGUCCUACUAGGUGUUGGCAGGGGAGGGUUCCUUCUGGCGCCCAGAGGAGAAUCCACGUCUUUGUUUUUUCUAGCUCUAGAGGCUGUCUGCGCGCCCAACAGGCAGGACCCACAGCAGGCAGCCAGUAGGGGGAGCAGGGUGGGGCCCCAGGGCUGUGCAGGGCCGGACCUGCGGCCGGAAGGAGGACGCAAAUCUACAGCCUUCCAGAGUCGCCAGGCCCGGAGCUGAGUCACGCCUGAGCUCAGGGCGUGGCCUGCCAGUCUCCAGGGUCCAGGCUAGCAGGUAAGCAGCCUGGAUGGUGCCACCCCUGUGGUUUUACAAGUAAAAAGCGAACAAAUUGAAAAUCAACAGUGCUUCUUAUACACCUCAGAGAACUGAGAUCACAGGGCAAACCCAAGGUCUCACCCGAGGUGGGGAGAAAACAGAACUGAGAGGCUCUUGUGAAGGUCACGGUCCCAGUCGCUGGCACCCUCAAACCUGAGAUGUAAUCACACUCCCCCCGACGCCCACAUCCCCGCCCCCUGUCCUCCACACCUGCAUCGCUGCUCCCCAGGCCUCUGCCCACCAAACCCACGUGCCUGCCCCCAUGCACCCUCGUCCCUUGGACUGGGCUCCUAGGCACAGGGGAUUCCAGUGGAAAACACUGCACGCCUUGAUCUCAGGUGGCCUCGGCCUGAAGCAGCCUGAGGCAGGAUUUCGGCUCCCAGCCAGAGAUUGAAGUCGGGCCGCGGCAGUGAGGGCGCUGAAUCCUGGCCACUAGACCAGCGGCCAGCGACAAGGCCCUGGCCCUUCGGCUUUGUAGAAAUGAAUUUCCACAGAGACGGAAAGCAGUGAAACAAGUAAAGUAUUUAUUAGGAGGAAAAAGGGUACACGUGGAUAGACACAUGGAUGGACUCAGAGAGUGGCACCCUCGUGGUAGUUUGAAUCACUUAUAUUCGGCAGUUCUUCCGGGUUUCCUCUGGCCAAUCAUCUUGCUCUGUCUGGCUCUGAGUCUAUUUGGUUUGUCUCAAGGUCCUGCCCUGUGUGUGCGUGCAUCUCUUAGCCAAGAUGGAUUCUAGCACAGAGGCCUAUGGGUAGGUUGACAUCACCUACUAUGGGGUGGCACCCCCUCCUGUUGACCCCCAGGAGCCUUUCUGCACGUGUGUAAUCGGGAAGGAAUAUGAGGUCUCGUUAUCUCUUAUCUGGGCUGGGCUCAGGUCUUCCUCCCUCCAGCUGCUGUCUUCGUCUUGGAGUAUCUGUUCAGGGGGACAGACUCCAGCUGCUCAGCCUGGGGCCAUCUAACUCCUGCCUCACCAGCUCGCCCCACACCCACGUCCUAUCGACAGGACUCCGACGAACAGGGGAUUCCAGCGGAAAACACCGCACGUCUGAGACCUUGUUUAAGGGGAACUGCCUCUCCUAUGCCUCACUUCUAAACGCUGCCUACACAUCAGACCCAUGGGUCACAGAGACGAGAGAGCCCAGCUGUGCACGAAACCUCACCAAGUCCCAACCAAGUAGCUACACUGGGGACCCUCCACUGCCCUCCACAGCUCUGGACACAUGUAAGUUCCCUCCUCGGUUUGGUUGUGCCUCAAGGUUUCCCCACUGUAUCUCUAAAAUAUGCACCUGGGAUUGGGCUCCCUGCCUAAGCAUGGUCCUAGCUUUGGCAUUUGCUUUUCUUUACUUCUGCCCACUCAGACAUAGUAGAGAAGUUCUUCUCGGAAGAAUGACUUCAGCAGAGAAGUUGCAGGCGGUUUUGUGCCAUUCCUUAGGUCCUCCUCAAACGUUAGGCUUUCAGUGAUGCUACACCCACCCGUGGCUCACGUCACUUACAUUGCUCUGGGUUUCACGUUGCAGUAAAAGCAAAGAGCAUUUGUAGAAAGACUGAGCAAAAUUGUUGGUAUUUUUGCUGUUCUUUGCUUCCCCUGUUCGUGGAGGUGGAUUGAGACACCUGGAAUGAGGCUCUGUGGGCCAGCAGAUAGAAAAAAGGUGAGCCGUCACAGGGCCAGGAAGUGGCUCCUCUGUUUAGACAUCUCUAUGAGUGUGGGUCCUGGUGUGCACAGAAACAAAUUCUGGCCCUCGUACACACCUACUCUCCUGGCUGUGGCUGCCUUUAUCAACUCGGUCCCGCAGAUGCAGACUCCCUAACGGCGCGAAUUCAUCCUCUUUCUGUCCUGCCAUCCUCAGCAUUUCAGAUGAAGCUGAGGUUUUCAUGCGAACAGAGAAGCUAAAUUUCUGUGUUCUGGUUAUAUAGUUCCACGUGUGCAUUAGACACUAUUUUCCAACAGAUGAGAAUCAUUUCUGUUGACAUUUUCAACCAUUCAAUUCCACUUGCUUUUCUAAAUUAGAUUUGCUUUAACUUCAUUUUCUCCCAGACAUUAUUGGAAGAAUGAUUAUGGAGCCCAUUAACCAUUUCAUCAUUUUAUUGCUGAUAGCCAAACCAGAAUUAAUUUUCCAAAAUUAUGUAGCACAUUACCAUAAUGAUUUACUAAAAUCCAGGUGUAUUUAAAAUACUGCCUUUCUAUUGUUUCUAUUUCUUUUCUUUUUCUUUUUUAAAAUUUUUUAUUUCAUUUUAUUUAUUUAUUUAUUUAUUUUGCCUGCGUUGGGUCUUUGUUCCUGCAUGUGGACUUUCUCCAGUUGCGGCCAGCAGGGGCUACUCUUUGUUGCUGUGCGUGGGCCUCUCAUCGUGGCGGCCUCUCUUGCUGCGGCUCUAGGUACGUGGGCUUCAAUAGUUAUGGCACACGGGCUCAGUAGUUGUGGCGCACGGGCCCAGCUGCUCCGUGGCAUGUGGGAUCUUCCCGGACCAGGGCUGGAACCCGUGUCCCCUGCAUUGGCAGGCGGACUCUUAACCACUGCGCCACCAGGGAAGCCCCUGUUUAUUUUCAAUUCUAUCAAAAAGCAGUAAACUUCUGCUGACAAAAUUGCUUGGAAAAACCCAGUUGUUCAUCAGGCAAUGUUGCUGUUUUCCAUUUAUUAGGUUUUUACUGCAGCCCUGGUGAUGGGGCAUCUGUGGCACAUUGCCUUCAUUUGUACGACUAGUGACCCUAAGCAGAAACUCGGAAAAUUCUCAUGGCUGGACGUGAGAGGAUCUUCUCAUGCCUCUCCUUUCGAAGAAGGGUCCCCUUAAUAGACUUUGCUCAUCUCACCCAGAGGCUGCACCUCUGUGCUUCCUCCCAGGAGGGUAUGGUCAGUCGUCCCCCAUUCAGCAGAGGGACAGAGUCAUGAUGGGCAGGAGACCAGGGUGACCUAAGGUGACUGGAAGUCUGGGCCAGUCAGAGAGCAGCCCAGCAAUGCUGUUGAUAAAAGGCUACAGACACCUUAGCGACCACGCCCAGCCCAUGGUGGUCUCGCAUUUGGUGGACGUGGGGAGAGGGAUCUGGGACUCCCAGGCUCAGAGGACAGCAGACACGGAGACCAUCUGCUGUGUUAGGGGAAGAAAACCAUGUUUGGCAUGGGAGGCUCAGCCCCAGCUCUGCCGUUCCUCCCCCAGCUGAGUCUUGAAGGUGUGGCCUUAUCUACAAGGACAGAUUAGGCUCCACGCAGAGUUCUCUCUUGGUUCUAACAAUCUAUCGAAGUUUAUGCCAUUGCUUGGAUCUCACAGAAAGCGAUAUAGAACCAAGAGAAGCACACGCCAGCUUGGAAAUAACCAUGCAGAGGACAAGCCAACUUCAAUACCACAUCUGAGGUGACUCUGAAGGGGACUUGUUCCCAGUGUUCCAGCUGUGGUCAUGUUGUGUAGAUCAAACGAUGUUGGCUGGAUGGGCAGCCAGCCUCUCCUUCCCCUCUCCACCGAGAACUCUACUUUCAGGGCUCUGUAAAGUGUCAGACCCUAGUCCCUGCCUUCAGAGAGCUCAUGGUCUUCAUGCAAAGCUGAGAUGUUUCUGUGAGUCGAGGGCAGGGCGAGCUGGGAUAUAAUUAACUGAAAGAAGUUACAGGAAACUGUGGUUGGCUAGUGACUGGUAAAGAUUCAAGCACUGGAGGGCUGGGGGAAAGAGGAUCACCUAAAACAGGCAUCUCAGGGGGGCGCCCCCCGGGAGGUGGACAUGCAGUGAUGGCGUCAGACAAGCCAAGUCACAUCCUGGAUCCGCGUCUGCCUACUUGUGGCGUCCCAGCAAGGUUACUGAGCUUUCUCGAAGCCUCGGGGCCUCAUCUUCAAGACACAGUAAUAACAGGAUUGACCUUUUAGGGUUAUUUGGAGCAUAAGGCAAGCAGAGUGCUUGAGCACAGCCUGGUGUGCAGUGAACAGUAAGUAAAAUUUAGCCAUUUACACCAUCACUGUCAUUAUCAAAGCUGUCAUUGUUAUCAGCGUAUAAAGAGAGGGUUGGUCUGAGCCUUGAGGAGUGGGGUCAUGUGGGCAGGCUGAGAAUAACUCGGGACUUCAUGGAGAUGCUCCCUUGAAGUCGUGGAUGGAAUUUCAAGACACCAGAAGUGGGAGAGACUUAGAGAUUUACCGUUUUUGUCUCUAGAUUGAAGUGCCUGCUUUCUGAGAUUUACGUUAUCGGAAAGGGAGCAUGGCUCUAAGAGAUGUUACCGAAAACAUCUGCCCUGUUAGAGGCCAUAUUAAGUUAUGAAACUAUGUUUUUCCCCCUCACCUGCCAAAGUGAAUUUUAGUAUCUUCUUAUGACUGCUCAGGCUAAAGUGAUCUCCCUGCACCUGUGACCCCCAUCAAAGUUCACGUGUGCGAAUGACCUGGCCCUUCCUUGGGGUCUUUUGAAUUAUCGUUCAAAUGUUUGAUUGCUAACACUUCUUACAUGUAUUUCCUGCCUCAAUCACAGAGCACAAGCUCCUAGCGGACAGGGAAGGUUUCUACAUUUCUGCAGUUCCCACAACUCUUAAUAUGAUUCUGGGUGUGGGGUAAGCCCUCAACAUAUUUGCUGGUUGUUUGAUUUUUUUAAUUCAAUAUGUUGCAUAAAAUUUGGCCAGGAAUAUGUCAGAUAGAAAUGUUCCUCCCAAAGAAAAAAUAUGUAUUGGCUUAGCGAGGUUUAACAUACUUGCAGUGAAAUGCUCAAUGAUAUUUAACACAGGCAUAGUCUCAUCCCAAACUACACCAGACACUCUCAUCACCCCAGAAGGCUGCCCUGUCCCUACCCUGGCCCCGCAAAGCCACCACGGGCGUGGUUCUAUCACAUUUCACACGAAUGGAGUCACACGGCAUAUACUUCCGUGUCUGCGUUCCUUCACUAAGAUACUAUUCUUGACAAGCGUCCACGUUGUCGUACGUAUCAGCGGCUCAUUCUCUUUCCACGGCUUGAAUAUUCCAGUCUGUUAGUCCACUUCCUUGCAAACAGAUAUCUAGGUUGUUCCAAGGAAUAAACUGCUACGAACAUUAUUGUACACGCUCCUCGAGGCCCUGUUUUCAUUUAUCUUUGAUAAAUACCUAGGGUGGAAUGUGCUGGGGCAUCUGUAUUAAUGUAAACAUGUCCAUGAGUGGAGUUAGAGACAGCCUUGAUACCGAGCAGGGCCCAGUGGGGUUCCUGGGCACAAAAUCCUUCCUGUGUCCCCAUUUCUUUGAUUAUAGGAAACAGGCUUCAGUCAGCCUCCAUGACCUUCCAUGAGUUCCAUGGGGCAGAUUCAAGCAGUUGUUAAUUAGGGAAGGGAGGGGGACUCAAGAGAAACAAUAGAGCAGCCUUGGGGCAGGGUCCUGGUUCCCCAUCAAGGGGUACACAGAACAGCGUCUUUGAGCUGUUUUGCAGGUACUGAGACCCCCACCAGGUGGGAGAAGUUAACGGUUAAUGGCAUGCUGCCCACAGAGGCCGGAUUCGGCUUCAGCUCUGCGCCAGGUGAACAGAGAGGGUUUGGAGCUGGGUGAGGAGUUGUGGGCUUGCAAACUGGCUGCUCUUAGGAUGAAGCCUGAUGACGACAUGUCUUGUCAGGCAAGUACAGAGUUUCAAAAGUGGAGGGAUGAGGUGCCUGCAGGUGGCUGUGCAGUCAGCCUUCCCUUCCCUCCGUCCCACGCUUACCACGAGCUCCUGGCCACCUCUUAGUUCAGGAUCCUAAGAUUCUAUUCCGAUUCCUAUUUGAAAGAUAAGGAGGCCCAAGACCGAGAGGAGAUCUGAAACAAGCCAGCAAACACAAGCUAUCUCCUCUUUUGCCCUGGCCAUAGAUGCCUGCUGGCCUGGAGGCAUCCGUCAGAGAGGUGCUUUUGCCCCAGGCCUCUCCAUAUUUUGUACGUCUUUAUAGCCAUCACCCCAUUUUCUCACUGUGUAUUUGCCAUCCUAUAUCUGCCUCGAACAGUGAGCUCCUGAAAAUCAGGGAUUUCAACUUCACAUCCUCACCGCCUGCCAUGGUACCCAGCAUGUGGUCUGUGUGGUCACCCUAAUGUACCUACUGCUCUACCAAGUCUGCACCAAGACAGGGUGGAGCAUGGAAAAAGAGACAAUUCUCUGAGCCUGGAUGGAGCAAAGCUGAGCUUGUCUCCAGAGGAUCAGGGACACACUCCCCAGCGGUGUAGCAGCGCAUGGGGGCCUUGCGCUGGCCGCACCCCAAGCCCCCGGUGAGGCAUGGAGGCACCAGCACGCCUGUGACCAGUGACUGCCCCAGCUCACCGCUACAGCGGACCCCAAUUUUGGGGAGGGGCUGCAACAAUGUGUUUAAGUGUCCCCAAAUCCUUGGAUCGAAUCACAAUUGGAUUAUUUUUAGGAAAAUAAAGAACUCGAAAUUCUCCAUCA
This is a long non-coding RNA of Orcinus orca (killer whale), 16508 nucleotides long. RefSeq lists it as uncharacterized. Lineage: Eukaryota; Metazoa; Chordata; Mammalia; Artiodactyla; Delphinidae. The record is from RefSeq and is a predicted model, not a curated record. The transcript is spliced from 7 exons.